This 590-nucleotide ribosomal RNA is filed under the name uncultured bacterium. RNAcentral describes it as "bacterial SSU rRNA". It matches the Rfam family "Bacterial small subunit ribosomal RNA", at positions 28 to 635 of the family's 1533-position model. The record is from RNAcentral.
GAUGAACGCUGGCGGCGUGCUUAACACAUGCAAGUCGAACGUGAUACUUGGUGCUUGCAUCGAGUUGAAAGUGGCGAACGGGUGAGUAACACGUUGGUGACCUACCCCGAGGAGGGGAAUAACCGUGGGAAACCAUGGCUAAAACCCCGGAUGUCUAUGGUGUUAGAGGCUGUAGACUAAAACUCCGGUGCCUCGGGAGGGGCCUGCGGGCUAUCAGCUAGUUGGUGAGGUAAUGGCUCACCAAGGCUAAGACGGCUAGGGGGCGGGAGAGCGCGACCCCCCACAAUGGAACUGAGACACGGUCCAUACUCCUACGGGAGGCAGCAGUGAGGAAUAUUGCGCAAUGGGGGCAACCCUGACGCAGCAACGCCGCGUGGACGAUGAAGGCCCUCGGGUCGUAAAGUCCUUUUCUGAGGGAAGAUAAUGACGGUACCUCAGGAAUAAGUCCCGGCUAACUACGUGCCAGCAGCCGCGGUAAAACGUAGGGGGCGAGCGUUAUCCGGAUUUACUGGGCGUAAAGCGCACGUAGGCGGCGCUGUAAGUUGGAUGUGAAAGCUCCCGGCUUAACUGGGAGAGGCCGUUCAAUACUG